GUUAGUAACUAUUUUAUAAUCUGUGGUAGAAUCAUAGCCAAUAGGAUUGAACAGGAAAAUUGUACGCGGCAGACAUUUUGAGAUUGAAGGCGUGUUGGAGUUGAGCACGUGUUAGAGAAAGUAUAAAAGUUAUGGAAUUCUUUGCUUUUUACAAUGACCUUAAUACGCCGGAAAAUGUGCAGAAAAAUAUUUUGCAGGUAUCAUGAGUAUUUGUUGACAGUCCUGGAGAAAUUUAUGGGAAGAAAUUGCUGUGCCCACCGAUGAAGGUUAUAGAGUUUUUGAGUGAGCUGAAGACCACUGUAUCUUCAUCUCUGUCCACUCCUUCAGCUAUGCACCAUAUGUGAGAAGCCUUUCUUUGAAAGUCCUGGAGUGGAAGCAGUAAAGGAAGAGCUGUUCCCGGAUGUCUGCUGUCUCUGAGUGAUCUAGUACCAUUCACCCCUUUAACUGCAUACUAUCAAGAAGCCCCACGACCAGAGGCACCUGUCACAGCAUGUACUUCUCGUCAUCAAAGGCGCAGACCCCAAACAAAGGAGGACUUUGAGAAGUAUCAGAGCAUAAGAGCUGCAGAGGAUAUGUGCACAGGCAUGAUGAAAAAUCGUGCGUUUCGAGAUAGUGCG
Molecule: RNA transcript, 617 nt
Organism: Cryptotermes secundus
Lineage: Eukaryota; Metazoa; Arthropoda; Insecta; Blattodea; Kalotermitidae
Exons: 4
Source: RefSeq, a predicted model, not a curated record